GGAAGGAUCAUUACAGAAUCGUCAACGGGUUGUUGCUGGUCCUCGAACGGGGACAUGUGCACGCUCUGUUUACACAUCCACUCACACCUGUGCACCCUCCGUAGUUCUGUGGUCUGGGGGACCCUGUCUUCCUGCCGUGGUUCUACGUCUUUACACACACACCGUAAUAAAGUCUUAUGGAAUGUACGCCGCGUCUAACGCAAUACAAUACAACUUUCAGCAACGGAUCUCUUGGCUCUCGCAUCGAUGAAGAACGCAGCGAAAUGCGAUAAGUAAUGUGAAUUGCAGAAUUCAGUGAAUCAUCGAAUCUUUGAACGCACCUUGCGCCCCUUGGCUAUUCCGAGGGGCAUGCCUGUUUGAGUAUCAUGAACACCUCAACUCUCAUGGUUCGCCGUGAUGAGCUUGGACUCUGGGGGUUUUGCUGGCCUGCGGUCGGCUCCCCUCAAAUGAAUCAGCCUCCCAGUGUUUGGUGGCAUCACGGGUGUGAUAAAUAUCUACGCUCGCGGUUGUCCGCCAGGUAACCUUUGGCGACAAAGGUUCGCUGGAGCUCACAGAUGUCUCUCCUCAGCGAGGACAGCUUUUUGAACGUUCGAUCUCAAAUCAGGUAGGACUACCCGCUGAACUUAAGCAUAUCA
RNAcentral lists this small RNA (635 nucleotides) under uncultured fungus. RNAcentral describes it as "eukaryotic LSU rRNA". The stretch from base 212 to 366 matches the Rfam family "5.8S ribosomal RNA". Lineage: Eukaryota; Fungi. The record is from RNAcentral.